RNAcentral lists this ribosomal RNA (454 nucleotides) under uncultured bacterium. RNAcentral's name for it is "bacterial SSU rRNA". It matches the Rfam family "Bacterial small subunit ribosomal RNA", at positions 340 to 786 of the family's 1533-position model. The record is from RNAcentral.
UACGGAAGGCAGCAGUGGGGAAUAUUGCACAAUGGGCGCAAGCCUGAUGCAGCCAUGCCGCGUGUAUGAAGAAGGCCUUCGGGUUGUAAAGUACUUUCAGUCGUGAGGAAGGUGUUAAGGUUAAUAACCUUAGCAAUUGACGUUAGCGACAGAAGAAGCACCGGCUAACUCCGUGCCAGCAGCCGCGGUAAUACGGAGGGUGCUAGCGUUAAUCAGAAUUACUGGGCGUAAAGAGCACGUAGGUGGUUUUUUUAAAGUCAGAUGUGAAAUCCCUGGGCUUAACCUGGAACUGCAUUUUGAAACUGAAAUACUAGAGUAUCGUAGAGGGAGGUAGAAUUCUAGGUGUAGCGGUGAAAUGCGUAGAUAUCUGGAGGAUACCUGUGGCGAAAGCGGCUCCUAAACGGAUACUGACACUGAGGUGCGAAAGCUGGGGAGCAAACAGGAUUAGGAUACC